GGACCCGCACAAGCGGUGGAGCAUGUGGUUUAAUUCGAUGCAACGCGAAAAAACCUUACCAGGGUUUGACAUCCUGCGAAUCUCUUGGAAACAGGAGAGUGCCUUCGGGAACGCAGUGACAGGUGGUGCAUGGCUGUCGUCAGCUCGUGUCGUGAGAUGUUGGUUAAGUCCCGCAACGAGCGCAACCCACGUCUUUAGUUGCCAGCAUUUAGUUGGGCACUCUAGAGAGACUGCCGGUGAUAAACCGGAGGAAGGUGUGGAUGACGUCAAGUCAUCAUGCCCCUUACAUCCUGGGCUACACACGGUACUACAAUGCUACGGACAAAGGGCAGCAAGUUCGCGAGGAC
This 347-nucleotide ribosomal RNA is filed under the name uncultured bacterium. RNAcentral's name for it is "bacterial SSU rRNA". It matches the Rfam family "Bacterial small subunit ribosomal RNA", at positions 917 to 1264 of the family's 1533-position model. The record is from RNAcentral.